GAUGAACGCUGGCGGCGUGCCUAAUACAUGCAAGUCGAGCGAACAGACGAGGAGCUUGCUCCUCUGACGUUAGCGGCGGACGGGUGAGUAACACGUGGAUAACCUACCUAUAAGACUGGGACAACUUCGGGAAACCGGAGCUAAUACCGGAUAACAUGUUGAACCGCAUGGUUCAACAGUGAAAGACGGUCUUGCUGUCACUUAUAGAUGGAUCCGCGCCGCAUUAGCUAGUUGGUAAGGUAACGGCUUACCAAGGCAACGAUGCGUAGCCGACCUGAGAGGGUGAUCGGCCACACUGGAACUGAGACACGGUCCAGACUCCUACGGGAGGCAGCAGUAGGGAAUCUUCCGCAAUGGGCGAAAGCCUGACGGAGCAACGCCGCGUGAGUGAAGAAGGUCUUCGGAUCGUAAAACUCUGUUAUUAGGGAAGAACAAAUGUGUAAGUAACUAUGCACGUCUUGACGGUACCUAAUCAGAAAGCCACGGCUAACUACGUG
RNAcentral lists this ribosomal RNA (497 nucleotides) under uncultured bacterium. RNAcentral's name for it is "partial 16S ribosomal RNA". It matches the Rfam family "Bacterial small subunit ribosomal RNA", at positions 28 to 507 of the family's 1533-position model. The record is from RNAcentral.